Molecule: ribosomal RNA, 253 nt
Filed under: uncultured bacterium
Lineage: Bacteria
Description: partial 16S ribosomal RNA
Rfam family: Bacterial small subunit ribosomal RNA
Source: RNAcentral
UACAGAGGUCUCAAGCGUUGUUCGGGUUCAUUGGGCGUAAAGCGCGCGCAGGCGGUCCUUUAAGUCUGAUGUGAAAGCCCACGGCUCAACCGUGGAGGGUCAUUGGAAACUGGGGGACUUGAGUACAGAAGAGGAAAGCGGAAUUCCACGUGUAGCGGUGAAAUGCGUAGAGAUGUGGAGGAACACCAGUGGCGAAGGCGGCUUUCUGGUCUGUAACUGACGCUGAGGCGCGAAAGCGUGGGGAGCAAACAGG